Long non-coding RNA from Prunus avium (sweet cherry), 1669 nucleotides. RefSeq lists it as uncharacterized. The record is from RefSeq and is a predicted model, not a curated record. Lineage: Eukaryota; Viridiplantae; Streptophyta; Magnoliopsida; Rosales; Rosaceae.
AAUAUUUGUCACAAAAAAACAAAAUGUGAAGGUCUAAGGUCUUUGGUGUUGAGAUCUUUGUUUGCAAACCUCCGCAUUUAACUAGAGACAGCUGCAGUGUAGAUCAAGACCGUUGGACAGUAUGGAUCGCACUCACUCCCACAGAUAAAUGGUGUGGAUCUUCGUAUGUAGAGUGAUUGGGGAGGAUGAAAAGCAGUGAAUGAAUCCCAUAUAUUUUCAAAUAAAUAAAUAAAAUUUGAAAAAACAUGAGAUUGAUGCAUAUUCUUCCUGGAAGCAUAGAUAUAAUCGGUACAAGUGACUUUUAAAUGGAUGAUACCGGUGCAGUCACUUAUUCAAGGGCUGAAAUUGCACUUAAAAAAUGAAGGAUUGAGAUUGAAUGACCUGUAGACCUGUUCAGCCCUUUCUAAUUAAAGAUCACGUGAGUUACACGUGACUGAGGAAAACGAAAAAAACAUUCCACGAACGCCAAGCGUGCCACGGAGCGUCUUCUAAUUUGCUCGCGGCGAGGCAGAGGACGGGUCAUACCCGUUCAGCCCAACCCAAAUUCUACCACUAUUCACUGUCUUCAUCUCUUCAGUGUGGGAUCUGCAUUACCGUCGGCUUCACUUCUUCAGCUCUCUGAAUGGAACCUCACCCACCGCCACAUCGUCUUGCUCAAUGUCGUUGCUUGGGAUCUGCAUUACCGUCGGCUUCACUUCUUUCAUAUACUUUUUAUGCUUUUGGAUGCAUAGUUCUGUUUCUGAUUGAAGCUUAAUAUGCUUUGGAAAUUAGAUUCUUUAAAGUGGGUUUUUCAUGGGUAUUCUGAAAGCAAAACCCAACAAUCGCUGCUAACCUUUUUUUGAAAAAAUUACAGAAAUUGGUGGUAUGUUUCUGUUAUUGAGUCAAGUUUUGUUUUUGGUUUUUUCUAAUAGGCAGCAGUUUCUGCGACGUCUCUCUUCUGCUCUGCAAUCACCGCAUUUCAGUCGUUUUUAGGAAGGUGAAUUCCCAAUGUGGUUUUUUUAAAGGCUUUCAAGAGACCAACUCAAUCACUUGAAAAGCUGAUGGAUGUUAUGAGGGAAGAGCUUCCUAACACAAUGGUUGUUGUUCGUUUAUCCGGGAUGGAGCUCAGUGAUCUUGGGUUGCCGUUACAAUUUCAAAGCUCCUAUUUCUUAAUCUGUAAGUGUAUGGUUCAAAUGUGAUGUUCUUCAUUGGUAUUGGUUGCUUUGAUUGGCAUUGGUUGCUGUGAUUGUUGUAACUGCUAUAUAUUGGUUGCUCUGGCUAACGAUUCAGGAAAAGUGCAGUUAAGAAACAGGGUUUCCUUGAUCUUUUAAAAGAAUUUGCUUGCUAGAGAGUGGUAGAAAAACUUGCGAAGAAGAAGAAGAAGAAGAAGAUGGAGCUACUGCUAGAGUUCUGGCUCCUUGCAGUGCUUGUACCAAUUGUUGGUGUGGGUGCUUUUCUGUGGUGGGCAAGGCAGGAUAUGAUUCAAGACAGUGUAAGGCUACUUCUAUUUUUUCUCUUGCUCACUUCUUAAAGCUCAUAGUUUUCUUCAACUAUGGUAUUAAACAUCUAUGGUUGCCUAGUGAAAACACAACUCAAGUUGUUGAGUGCUUUAAUUUCCAUGCCCUCAAUUUGGUCAUUCCCUCUACGAGUUUGGCACCUACAAGUGACUAGUAAAACCUUUUUAAUUAUU